This 466-nucleotide ribosomal RNA is filed under the name uncultured bacterium. RNAcentral's name for it is "partial 16S ribosomal RNA". It matches the Rfam family "Bacterial small subunit ribosomal RNA", at positions 30 to 507 of the family's 1533-position model. The record is from RNAcentral.
CGAACGCUGGCGGCGUGCUUAACACAUGCAAGUCGAACGGAAAGGCCCUGCUUUUGUGGGGUGCUCGAGUGGCGAACGGGUGAGUAACACGUGAGUAACCUGCCCUUGACUUUGGGAUAACUUCAGGAAACUGGGGCUAAUACCGGAUAGGAGCUCCUGCUGCAUGGUGGGGGUUGGAAAGUUUCGGCGGUUGGGGAUGGACUCGCGGCUUAUCAGCUUGUUGGUGGGGUAGUGGCUUACCAAGGCUUUGACGGGUAGCCGGCCUGGGAGGGUGACCGGCCACAUUGGGACUGAGAUACGGCCCAGACUCCUACGGGAGGCAGCAGUGGGGAAUAUUGCACAAUGGGCGGAAGCCUGAUGCAGCAACGCCGCGUGCGGGAUGACGGCCUUCGGGUUGUAAACCGCUUUCGCCUGUGACGAAGCGUGAGUGACAGUAAUGGGUAAAGAAGCACCGGCUAACUACGUG